GUCCACGCCGUAAACGAUGAGUGCUAGAUGCUGUGGGUAUUGACCCCCGCGGUGUCGCAGCCAACGCGUUAAGCACUCCGCCUGGGGAGUACGGCCGCAAGGCUAAAACUCAAAGGAAUUGACGGGGGCCCCGCACAAGCGGUGGAGCAUGUGGUUCAAUUCGACGCAACGCGCAGAACCUUACCUGGGUUAAAUCCACCAGAACCUUGCAGAGAUGUAGGGGUGCCCUUCGGGGAACUGGUGAGAAGGUGCUGCAUGGCUGUCGU
RNAcentral lists this ribosomal RNA (266 nucleotides) under uncultured bacterium. RNAcentral's name for it is "partial 16S ribosomal RNA". It matches the Rfam family "Bacterial small subunit ribosomal RNA", at positions 793 to 1055 of the family's 1533-position model. The record is from RNAcentral.